Molecule: ribosomal RNA, 393 nt
Filed under: uncultured bacterium
Lineage: Bacteria
Description: bacterial SSU rRNA
Rfam family: Bacterial small subunit ribosomal RNA
Source: RNAcentral
UAGUAUCAGCGUGUCAGCAGCCGCGGUAAUACGGAGGGGGCUAGCGUUAUUCGGAAUUACUGGGCGUAAAGCGCACGUAGGCGGCUUUGUAAGUCAGAGGUGAAAGCCUGGAGCUCAACUCCAGAACUGCCUUUGAGACUGCAUCGCUUGAAUCCAGGAGAGGUGAGUGGAAUUCCGAGUGUAGAGGUGAAAUUCGUAGAUAUUCGGAAGAACACCAGUGGCGAAGGCGGCUCACUGGACUGGUAUUGACGCUGAGUGCGAAAGCGUGGGGAGCAAACAGGAUUAGAUACCCUGGUAGUCCACGCCGUAAACGAUGAUAACUAGCUGUCUGGGCACUUGGUGUUCAGGUGGCGCAGCUAACGCAUUAAGUUAUCCGCCUGGGGAGUACGGCCG